Molecule: ribosomal RNA, 229 nt
Filed under: uncultured bacterium
Lineage: Bacteria
Description: partial 16S ribosomal RNA
Rfam family: Bacterial small subunit ribosomal RNA
Source: RNAcentral
UGCGUAGGCGGAACGAUAAGUCAGUGGUGAAAUUCUGCAGCUUAACUGUAGACGUGCCAUUGAUACUGUCAGUCUUGAGUAUGGUCAAGGUAGGCGGAAUGUGUAAUGUAGCGGUGAAAUGCUUAGAUAUUACACAGAACACCGAUUGCGAAGGCAGCUUGCUGGGCCAUUACUGACGCUGAUGCACGAAAGCGUGGGGAUCAAACAGGAUUAGAUACCCUGGUAGUCC